RNAcentral lists this long non-coding RNA (1795 nucleotides) under Sus scrofa (pig). Its description in RNAcentral is "lncRNA (ENSSSCG00055021625.1)". The record is from RNAcentral. Lineage: Eukaryota; Metazoa; Chordata; Mammalia; Artiodactyla; Suidae.
AGGGACUUGCUGCCGUUCAGCUGCACGUGUGCCCGGAGCGUCCGCCCCGCUGAAGAGGGGGAGGCCUGGCUAACAAUAGAGCUCUGUCUCUCCCCAAGCUUUCUGGAACAGCGGAAAAGAAGAGCAACCUCGGCUCCUUGAAUGCAGCACCACGGUACCUCCCGCGGCGUGGAAGGUACUCGCUGAGUGCUCGAGGGUCGUCUUAGAUACCUUUUUAACUGAAGCAUAACUACUCCAAAAACGUGCUCAAAUCGUGGAGACAGAGCUCGGUGCCUCCUCAGAGUGGACCUUCCUGGAUCAUCCAGUCCAGAUCGGAAGAGAAUCUAAUUCACGCACCAUUUGGUUUGGGAAGAAAGACCUGUGGAAAAGACGGGGCUUUUUCAGCUGGAGCCUUUCUCCCCAUCCUCCCGAGCUCGCCCAAGGCUCCCCACCCACACUGGGUGGGAAAACCAUCUAGCGAGAGUUUCACCCCUCAUUUCGCAAAUGGCGCUGAAGCCCCCAGGGCUGGGAGACGUCACCUCUGCACUGCCCGCCAGCACGGAGACCCCAGACCGGCUGGAACCAGGAUGCUGCUGCCGAUUCCCAGUGACCUCACCACCCACCCAUCAGGAAAAUGUCCACGAGCUGAGCCUGCCCUGCUCCCUGACACCCUAAGAUGCCUCACAGCCCCCUGCAGGGGGCACAGUCCUGGAGGCGCUAGCCUGCUGUGUCCCCUCUUUGCCAUUAGAGCUACUUUCUCUGUUUCCUCCAACUCUGACUCCGUGUUUCUAUUUGGCCUCAGUGGACAGAGGCAGCCGAGAUUUCAGCAACGUGACCAGCCCCCCUCCACCCCCACCCCCACCCUCAUGACUGCAACAGCGCUAAUUCCCCGGAAGCCCACCCAGUCUAUGCAGACAAGGCGAGGCGGCAAGAAUUUUCUCUCCAGAGCCCAAGAUGCAAGUCCGAGUGUUUGCAGAUGCCUCGAGGAGGCUUUUCCGACGGCUUCUUUACACUUAGAGUGGGAUGGUGUUUACUCAAAACCACCAGUGACCUCUGAGCCAUCAGACGCAGCGCUUUGUCCUCUGGCCUCAGCCUCUUCCACGCUGUGGGCCACCUCCCCUCUGAAACGCUGCCUUCUUGGUUUCCGUGACCCUGAAGCACCCCUGUGUACGCUCUCUGGCUGCUUCUUCUGGUCUCCUGGGCCUCGUGAUUUGUCAGCUGAGAUUCAUUUUGGCUGAAAGCCACGGAGACCCGCAGUUACAGUGGCUGAAACAAGCUCGUGGUUCCUCGCUCCCUCGUGUCAAAGGCUGGGGAUCAGCAAGCCAGGGCCAGUGUGGCGAAGCACGGAGUCAUCGAGAGUCCUGACCCCAGGCCAGCGACCCGUGCUCCAUCCCUAGGGGGCAGCACCCAUCCUCGUGGUCCAGGGAGGCUGCUGGAACUCCAGCCCUUCACCUCAGAGUUCCAGGAAGCAGGACGGAACUUGGCUCAGAGCAAAAGGGGACAAAGAGAACAUCCUGUCUCCGUUAGGACAGGUUCCUGAGAGCACUUACAGGACACUGAUUCUUAAAUCUCUUGGAUAAAAUUAGUCCCUUGGCCUGAACCUAGUGACGAGGGAUGCUGGGCUAUGUAGCCUCUAUUUCAGAUAAUUCUGUGCCCAAAUUUAAAAUGCGGAUCCUGUCAUUAAGGAAGAGAAGAAUGAAUGAUAAUGGACAAUCCCUAGUCUGCUCGUACCCACAGAUUUGGGGGCCAUGAGGGGCGUGGCCACAGGGGGGUCAACGGUUUUUUUCCUUCCACAUGUAAGUGAUGCCAUACAGUG